Molecule: long non-coding RNA, 1546 nt
Filed under: Dasypus novemcinctus (nine-banded armadillo)
Lineage: Eukaryota; Metazoa; Chordata; Mammalia; Cingulata; Dasypodidae
Description: lncRNA (ENSDNOG00000051115.1)
Source: RNAcentral
CUCUCCCUGCACGAGCUCGGGCAGGUGCUCCGGCUGCCUCACCUGCUCUGAGUAGCUUGGGCGCCCAGGCAGCGCUUGUACAGGUCCCUUACCGAGACGGCGCUUGCUUGGCACCCAGUAGCUCUGUGGUGAGUUCUGCCCCACUUUCGGCCUUUUUCCGUCCUGACCACACACCUGGGAAUGCCAGCAGUGGGUGCGCCGAGAGGGGCGGGGAGACGUAAUUGCCUGAACUCUUUCCCUUCCAUUUGGACCAUUUCGGUUUAAUUCCUGGAUCCCCGGUAGUUGAGGCCCCUUGUUAAAUUCAUUUAGGAAAAGGAAGCGGCUCACCGGCCUGUGCCUCAAUGAGCCUGAAACCUCAGAACCCGCAAAGCCCCAGGUGUCCGGCUGUUUAGACCCAAGGGCCGCAUCCUCUUGGCCAUCCUCUCUGGUUCAUCAGGGCUCCUUGCGAUCAAAUGGAAUGCCACCCGUGUUCAGACGAGGGGCGAGCGUGUCGCCAAGGCGUCCGGCGCCAGGGGCGGCCAGGCGGGCACGGCGACACGAGGCUGUCCAGGAGGGCAGCAGCGAAUGUCACCCACACGGCUCCACGAACACCGCAGGACGGCCAGCCUCGGCAGGAACAGGGCAAAUCCAAACCACGCGCCACCUGGUAAAGCAGGCGGAAGCAGCACAGCCCCAAUCUGAUCACGAGGAACCAUCAGGCAGCCCCAAAGAGACCAUUCUACGCAGUAAGCGGCCCGUAACAUUUAAGCGUGACAAGGCCACAGAAGGCAAGGAAAGACUGAGAACCGACCCACCUCGAGGGAGGCUAAAGAGACACGACAACCAAACGCAUUAAAAAAAUAGCAAGUGUGUUUCUGAACUGGAUGCUUUUGCUAGAAAGGCUAUUUUGGGGACAGCUGGUAAAAACCAAAAGGGCUGACGAUUAGAUGUUUGCAACGUGUCAUUUGCUGAUCGUGAUGGCUGGAUGGCUUAUAUAAAGGAGAGGGUUGCCCUUGUUUCCAUGAAAUACAUCCUUAAGUAUGCAAGGGAGGGUCACGUCUGCAAAUUCACUGCAAAUGGUCCUGUGGAAAAAACCCUCUUUGUACUGUACUUGUAAAUUUCUGUAAUUCUGAGAUUGUUUCAGCAUUAUAAAAAAAAAUUAAUUUCAAAUUUUCCUCCUAAAAACUGCAUGCAUGCUUUGACUCAAUAAUUCCAAUGUCAGGAUUUCAUUCUGCACACAUAUUGGCAUACAUAUGUAUGUACAUACAUAACUGAUAUUUAUGGCAGAGUUAUUUUAAAAGAGUAAAUAUUGCAAACCAUUAAAGGACUGUGGAGGUUUGAAGUUAUAUGUUCCCCCCCAAAAAACGUAUUUUUCAACUUAAUCCAUUCCGGUGGGCAUGAGCCCGUUGUAAGGAGGGCCUUUGAUGAGGUUACUUCAGUUAAGGUGUGCCCCCUCCAUCAAGACGGUCUUAAUCCUACUUCUGGAGUCCUUUACAAAAGAAUGAAAUUCAGCCAGAGGGAGAAAAAGCCAAAGGAAGUAAGACACUGAAGAGGAACCCAGACGGAG